This 253-nucleotide ribosomal RNA is filed under the name uncultured bacterium. RNAcentral describes it as "partial 16S ribosomal RNA". It matches the Rfam family "Bacterial small subunit ribosomal RNA", at positions 524 to 776 of the family's 1533-position model. The record is from RNAcentral.
UACAGAGGGUGCGAGCGUUAAUCGGAAUUACUGGGCGUAAAGCGUGCGUAGACGAUUAUUUAAGUCGGGUGUGAAAGCCCCGGGCUCAACCUGGGAAUUGCAUUCGAGACUGAAUAGCUAGGGUACGGUAGAGGGAAGUGGAAUUUCCGGUGUAGCGGUGAAAUGCGUAGAUAUCGGAAGGAACAUCAGUGGCGAAAGCGACUUCCUGGACCAGUACCGACGUUCAGGCACGAAAGCGUGGGGAGCAAACAGG